GCUUUGAAGUGUGGACGCCAGUCUGCAUGGAGCCGACCUUGAAAUACCACCCUUUAAUGUUUGAUGUUCUAACGUUGACCCGUAAUCCGGGUUGCGGACAGUGUCUGGUGGGUAGUUUGACUGGGGCGGUCUCCUCCUAAAGAGUAACGGAGGAGCACGAAGGUUGGCUAAUCCUGGUCGGACAUCAGGAGGUUAGUGCAAUGGCAUAAGCCAGCUUGACUGCGAGCGUGACGGCGCGAGCAGGUGCGAAAGCAGGUCAUAGUGAUCCGGUGGUUCUGAAUGGAAGGGCCAUCGCUCAACGGAUAAAAGGUACUCCGGGGAUAACAGGCUGAUACCGCCCAAGAGUUCAUAUCGACGGCGGUGUUUGGCACCUCGAUGUCGGCUCAUCACAUCCUGGGGCUGAAGUAGGUCCCAAGGGUAUGGCUGUUCGCCAUUUAAAGUGGUACGCGAGCUGGGUUUAGAACGUCGUGAGACAGUUCGGUCCCUAUCUGCCGUGGGCGCUGGAGAACUGAGGGGGGCUGCUCCUAGUACGAGAGGACCGGAGUGGACGCAUCACUGGUGUUCGGGUUGUCAUGCCAAUGGCACUGCCCGGUAGCUAAAUGCGGAAGAGAUAAGUGCUGAAAGCAUCUAAGCACGAAACUUGCC
RNAcentral lists this ribosomal RNA (645 nucleotides) under Escherichia coli. RNAcentral describes it as "bacterial LSU rRNA". It matches the Rfam family "Bacterial large subunit ribosomal RNA", at positions 2154 to 2798 of the family's 2925-position model. Lineage: Bacteria; Pseudomonadati; Pseudomonadota; Gammaproteobacteria; Enterobacterales; Enterobacteriaceae. The record is from RNAcentral.